This 505-nucleotide ribosomal RNA is filed under the name uncultured bacterium. RNAcentral's name for it is "partial 16S ribosomal RNA". It matches the Rfam family "Bacterial small subunit ribosomal RNA", at positions 29 to 523 of the family's 1533-position model. The record is from RNAcentral.
AGUGAACGCUGGCGGUAGGCCUAACACAUGCAAGUCGAACGGCAGCACAGGAGAGCUUGCUCUCUGGGUGGCGAGUGGCGGACGGGUGAGGAAUACAUCGGAAUCUACUCUGUCGUGGGGGAUAACGUAGGGAAACUUACGCUAAAACCGCAUACGACCUACGGGUGAAAGCAGGGGAUCUUCGGACCUUGCGCGAUUGAAUGAGCCGAUGUCGGAUUAGCUAGUUGGCGGGGUAAAGGCCCACCAAGGCGACGAUCCGUAGCUGGUCUGAAAGGAUGAUCAGCCACACUGGAACGAAGACACGGUCCAGACUCCUACGGGAGGCAGCAGUGGGGAAUAUUGGACAAUGGGCGCAAGCCUGAUCCAGCCAUACCGCGUGGGUGAAGAAGGCCUUCGGGUUGAAAGCCCUUUUGUUGGGAAAGAAAUCCAUCUGGUUAAUACCCGGGUGGGAUGACGGUACCCAAAGAAUAAGCACCGGCUAACUUCGUGCCAGCCGCCGCCGUAA